GAUGAAGAACGCAGCGAAAUGCGAUAAGUAAUGUGAAUUGUAGAAUUCAGUGAAUCAUCGAAUCUUUGAACGCACCUUGCGCUCUUUGGUAUUCCGAAGAGCAUGCCUGUUUGAGUGUCAUGAAAAUAUCAACCUUGACUUGGGUUUUGUGCUCUAGUCUCGGCUUGGAAUUGGGUGCUUGCCGCUUUUACGAGCUGCUCACCUUAAAUGUAUUAGCUGGAUCUGUCUUUGAGACUUGGUUUGACUUGGCGUAAUAAGUAUUUCGCUAAGGACAUUCUUCGGAGUGGCCUCGUUUCUAGGACGCUUGUCCGCUUUCCAAUACAAGUUCCACCUCGUGGACAUGACUUUUUAUUAUCUGGCCUCAAAUCAGGUAGGACUACCCGCUGAACUUAAGCAUAUCAAUAAGCGGAGGA
Molecule: unclassified non-coding RNA, 413 nt
Filed under: soil metagenome
Description: partial contains 5.8S ribosomal RNA, internal transcribed spacer 2, and large subunit ribosomal RNA
Rfam family: 5.8S ribosomal RNA (bases 1-120)
Source: RNAcentral